RNAcentral lists this long non-coding RNA (2985 nucleotides) under Triticum aestivum (bread wheat). RNAcentral's name for it is "long non-coding RNA (TAES_LNC012493)". Lineage: Eukaryota; Viridiplantae; Streptophyta; Magnoliopsida; Poales; Poaceae. The record is from RNAcentral.
UAGACCGAAAAUUAGCAAAAUUUCCAUUAACAUAUAUUAUCCUUGUGGCACAUCAAUAUCCAUGAAAAUACAGCUAACAUAUAUUGGAAUUUACAAAAAACCAAGCAAGUUCCAAAACAACAGACCUACAAGGCUGAACAACACUUUUUGCGUGCCAUCGGUGCCAGCAAAAACUUACAAAAACCAAACUCUUCAAACCAGUGAAAGCCAAUCGACCAAAAUUGUUUCCAAUGCCGAAAUCUUCCGACCAGCAACAUGAAUAGACACUGGCACCAUGUGUCCAGUAUAUCUCUAACCAUAAUAAGAUUUUGCCAUGGUGCCCCUGACCAUCAUGUGCAUGUCACUCUUAGGACAAGAAUACAUACCACUUUGAAAAAGUACUUCUCCCAUAAUCAAAUCCUUAAUCAGUCGUUUCCACCAUUUGAAAAGUAUCACAGGGCACUUGUAGAUGGCAAUUACUGUGAACAUUAGUGCAUUCAGUAUGAGUCCACAAGCAACAGAACAAUGCCCCAGGAAUAUGAAGGAAUCUGCAAACAGAUAAUUGUAGUCAGCAUUUACCAUUUACAGUUCUCCAAGGAAGAAAAGAAAUGUGCUGCCUAAAUACAGAACAUUGCAUCUAGGGCUCGAUUCUCUCAGCUCUGAGGUCGGGAAUAAAGGGUCAUACAUGUUAAAAGGACCAAAGAGGAAAGGUAAUAUAGAAAAGUUCUGUGAUCUUGAGGCACAAAGGUAAAGCGCUACUAGACAUAAACAAAGAGCAAACCUUAUCUCAUAUGGAUUUCCAUCAGGAGGUCUCUGAAAACGAAGAUCAUCCAUAACUGAAAAAUAGGAGUGGAAAUAAUGUUUUUCAAAUCACUGACCACUGUACAAAUUCGAAUAAUAGUACUCCAUGUUCCAUCAUACAGUUUUGAGAUGGUAAGAAAAAUGUAAAAUAUGUUGUAACAAAGCAGAAAUGUCAUAAACACAAACAGAUAGCAUGCUUGAUGAAGAGAAAAAUGUACCACAAAGAAUUGAACAAAUGGCUUUUCUUUGCCUUCUCCAACUGCAUCGAAUGCGGUCAUUAUUUGUGCUGGAAAGCCAUAUAAUAAUCCAGCAACAGCACUUCCCGAGAUCCAAAAAAUAACCAUAAGAUCAAGGUCACAGUGGAAUCAAUAAGAAGUAGAAGCUUUACUACAGGUCCAACCAUUCUGGUUCACCUCCGUGAAAAUGAGAACGCAUAAUAUGAGUACUUCAACGUGUAUUAAUGUGAUCGUUGAAGUGAAACUGCAGAAGAUACACACUUUAACUGAUGAUGCAGUAGUAUGUCCAAAUAAGUGCGCAUAUUGCAAUUGCCAUAAUAAGGCAUAGCAGAACACCUGUUAGACGAAAUUAUAUGAAGUCAGGGAAUAAGAUGUAUAGUUUUAAAUAUGUAGGAGAAUCAAACAAAAGUGAACUACCAACACAAAUAGAAGUAUGUAAGCACACAACAACAUUGCAGUUUCCGAUUUUACAUACAUCGAUCCCCAUCAAACUCUGUCAUUCAUUUGCAAAGCCAUGGCUGAAUUUGCAUUCACACAUCAGCAGGCAACAUAACUCAACUGAAAUCUUUCGAAAGACAAAAUAAAUCCACAAGGUGAUAUAUGUAUUGACUAAACUUCAUUGUUUGAUUUCUUAAAAAUCUCAUAGAAAAAAAGCUCCAUGAAGUCAAUAAAUAUUUUUCAGUCUUGGUUGUACACAUCAAUGUGCUUGAGAGAUGGCUAGUGUUUUGUCUCUCCAAAAUGAGGCGACAGUGAGUGUUUGUGCCUGCUCUUGCCAUAUCUUAUCCCAAACUCUUUCUCCAGAUAAUAGAGAUUGUAUAAAUCAUAAACUUUGUCAAAACUUGUCCCAAUGUCCGACACAAUCACAUUUUCUAUAGGUUCUCCACAAAACCACUCACCGGUUUCUUGAACGCAGACAUGCACGAAGAGCACGGUGUCCGGCAAGGUGGAGCUGCUCCAAUCCUCAGCCUUCAAUACGUCCUGCUCAUCAGUACCAACACACCAACGCAGCAAUCAGCCUGCGCUCCCAAAUUCACUGCCUGUAAAGCACAUUCUCGUAAACCUUUUUCAUAUUUUGUAUCCCCCCUCCCCUCAGUUGUCAUUAUUUUUCAUUCCCUAUCACCCGUCCACCUGCCAAUCUCCAACCCCCUCCCAGAAAACCCCCAAUCAAUGUAAUGCAUAUUUCAGCAGUGCAAAUGUAUGAUUUCACUGGAAUAACUGAAGCGCUAAAAUACAGUGGGGAUUUCCAACGUUUACGCCAUAAAAGUUAAUUUUUAAAUAGCCUUCGUGAGUCAGCUUCUGCAGGUACCUAAUUUUUUUCUGCUAAACACGGGCCAUCAAUGUGUAAUAUGUGCACUAGUACCCUACGAUUAGAACCAGAAAUGCGUAUUGAAAGAAUAGAAGCCUACUGUAGACAAUACAUCUGCAUUGACGAUGAAGAGCCGCCAAAAUGAACUAUCACGAGGUGUUCCAGGGCUACCUUCAUCCCAAUUAAGUUGUCAAAUUGAUUGGAUCUAGCCUAUGGAGAUAAUUAAAUCUGAGCCUCUAGUGUGGUGUUACAGUGAUUUAUACUGCAAUGUUUUCAUAACAAUGACUGAAGACUGAAUGUUUCAUCAUCAGCAACUACCAUUGUCCUUCACAGACUACAAGUUGGCCCGCACGAACAUUGCCAACUAAUCCAUUUCCUUGCAGACAUUCUAGCCUCUAUUGGUAAUAACAAAACAGAAGUGCACAAUAGCUAUGUCUCCCGUACGCACAUGGGGUUUAUCUUGCCGGUCGAAAGCUCGGAUGCUUGUGGCAAUAUUUCCCGUCUGAUCUCCCUGGCCGCCUGGCCCUUUCUCCCUUGCAGACUUGCACGCCAUUUACGGCCGGCACCGCAACCUCGGCCGCAGCCGGAUCCGACCCUUUCGGCCCGUACUCCACCAGAUCCAUUGGGGUUGAGCUAUCGUCAACUUCCUCAAUGAAGGGGAAU